Molecule: ribosomal RNA, 539 nt
Filed under: uncultured Gram-positive bacterium
Lineage: Bacteria
Description: bacterial SSU rRNA
Rfam family: Bacterial small subunit ribosomal RNA
Source: RNAcentral
AGAGUUUGAUCCUGGCUCAGGAUGAACGCUGGCGGCGUGCUUAAUACAUGCAAGGUCGAGCGAACAGACGAAGGAGCUUGUCCUCUGACGUUUAGCGGCGGACGGGUGAGUAACACGUGGAUAAACCUACCUAUAAGACUGGGAUAACUUCGGGAAACCGGAGCUAAUACCGGAUAAUAUAUUGAACCGCAUGGUUCAAUAGUGAAAGACGGUUUUGCUGUCACUUAUAGAUGGAUCCGCGCCGCAUUAGCUAGUUGGUAAGGUAACAGCUUACCAAGGCAACGAUGCGUAGCCGACCUGAGAGGGUGAUCGGCCACACUGGAACUGAGACACGGUCCAGACUCCUACGGGAGGCAGCAGUAGGGAAUCUUCCGCAAUGGGCGAAAGCCUGACGGAGCAACGCCGCGUGAGUGAUGAAGGUCUUCGGAUUCGUAAAACUCUGUUAUUGGGAAGAACAAAUGGUGUAAGUAACUAUGCACGUUCUUGACGGUACCUAAUCAGAAAGCCCACGGCUAAAUUACGUGCCAGGCAGCCGCGGU